Molecule: ribosomal RNA, 940 nt
Filed under: Bacillus sp. (in: firmicutes)
Lineage: Bacteria; Bacillati; Bacillota; Bacilli; Caryophanales; Bacillaceae
Description: bacterial SSU rRNA
Rfam family: Bacterial small subunit ribosomal RNA
Source: RNAcentral
UCUGACGGAGCACGCCGCGUGAGUGAUGAAGGUUUUCGGAUCGUAAAGCUCUGUUGUUAGGGAAGAACAAGUACCGUUCGAAUAGGGCGGUACCUUGACGGUACCUAACCAGAAAGCCACGGCUAACUACGUGCCAGCAGCCGCGGUAAUACGUAGGUGGCAAGCGUUGUCCGGAAUUAUUGGGCGUAAAGGGCUCGCAGGCGGUUUCUUAAGUCUGAUGUGAAAGCCCCCGGCUCAACCGGGGAGGGUCAUUGGAAACUGGGGAACUUGAGUGCAGAAGAGGAGAGUGGAAUUCCACGUGUAGCGGUGAAAUGCGUAGAGAUGUGGAGGAACACCAGUGGCGAAGGCGACUCUCUGGUCUGUAACUGACGCUGAGGAGCGAAAGCGUGGGGAGCGAACAGGAUUAGAUACCCUGGUAGUCCACGCCGUAAACGAUGAGUGCUAAGUGUUAGGGGGUUUCCGCCCCUUAGUGCUGCAGCUAACGCAUUAAGCACUCCGCCUGGGGAGUACGGUCGCAAGACUGAAACUCAAAGGAAUUGACGGGGGCCCGCACAAGCGGUGGAGCAUGUGGUUUAAUUCGAAGCAACGCGAAGAACCUUACCAGGUCUUGACAUCCUCUGACAAUCCUAGAGAUAGGACGUCCCCUUCGGGGGCAGAGUGACAGGUGGUGCAUGGUUGUCGUCAGCUCGUGUCGUGAGAUGUUGGGUUAAGUCCCGCAACGAGCGCAACCCUUGAUCUUAGUUGCCAGCAUUCAGUUGGGCACUCUAAGGUGACUGCCGGUGACAAACCGGAGGAAGGUGGGGAUGACGUCAAAUCAUCAUGCCCCUUAUGACCUGGGCUACACACGUGCUACAAUGGACAGAACAAAGGGCAGCGAAACCGCGAGGUUAAGCCAAUCCCACAAAUCUGUUCUCAGUUCGGAUCGCAGUCUGCAACUCGA